Molecule: unclassified non-coding RNA, 203 nt
Filed under: soil metagenome
Description: partial contains 5.8S ribosomal RNA, internal transcribed spacer 2, and large subunit ribosomal RNA
Source: RNAcentral
AACGAGGCCGACCUGCGGCUGAGUUACCUGCGGAGGGAUCAUUAUCAAAACAGCGGCCUUCGGGCCUUGCUGCACCCUUGUCUUUUGCGCACCGUAUUGUUUCCUCGGCGGGCUUGCCUGCCGGUUGGACAUUAUCAAACCUUUUUGUAGUUGCAAUCAGCGUCAGAAAAACAAUAAUUAUUACAACUUUCAACAAUGGAUCU